GGCCGAUCCCUCCCCUCAGUGCAAGCUCUGUGCAAGAGUGAACUUGAACUUCACUCAGUGCAAGAGUGAACACACACUUUGUGCCGGCUUUAAAGAACCCAGCACAAAGCCAGUCUGCAUGGCCUAGAGACAUAUUUUGCUGGACAAUGAUUACUUGUUUUUCUUUUUGUUUUUCUUGUAUUUGCCUGUUUGAUUGGUUCCUGACAUACCAGAAAAUCACUGUCAAAACAUUAGCUUAACAUUUGUUAAGGAAACAAAAAGACUUCGGUGACCACACCUUAUAAACCAAACAGUUUUGUAAAUCACUUUAGAAAAUUUCACUAAAAAAAAAAAAUCCUUAACAAUAUAAUAAGUAAAGAAAAUUUAAAACCACAAAACAUUACUGUGUUUGUGGGGGGGGGGGUCUGAUUUACAGAGUAACCACAUAGUAAUUAUAAUUAUUAGAAUGUCCGUUUUCAAAAACGUUACAAGGCAUACAAAGAAUGGGAAAGUGUGGCUCAUUCAAAGGACCAAAAUAAAUUGACAGAAAAUAUCCCUAAGGAAACCCAGACAUCAAACUUACCAGACAAAGACUUUAAAACAACUCUCUUCAUUAUACUCAAAUGUCAAAAGGAAAACAUAAACAAAGAAAUAAAGGAAUCAGAAAAAAUAUUAAAAAGUAGGAAUAUCAGCAAAGAGAUAACAGAAAUUCUGGAGUGGAAAACUACAAUGAUAAAAAUUUAAAAAUCACCAGAGGGAUUUAAGAGUAUAUUUGCACACACAGAAGAAGCCAUGAACUUGAAGAGAAGAAAAUGGAAAAUACUGACUCUCAGAAACAGAAAGAAUAAAAAAUAAACAAUGAGCAGAGACUAAUGAAUCUGUGGGACAUCAUCAAAUAGACCAACAUUCAUAUUCUAGAAGGAUAAAUUUUGUUGUUAAAAAGUUUACCAUUCUUUCUUUUCACCUUUCUUCCUUCCUCCUUCCCCCUCCUCCUUUUUACUUUUCUUCCUCUUCCUUUCUCUUCUUCUUUCUCUCCUUCAUUAUCCCUUUCACUGUUUCUCUUUCUCCCUUUCUCCUUUUUCUUUUCUUUCAAUUUUCUCAAUUACUAAGAGAUGUUUAAGUACCCUUACCAUGUUAGUAGAUACGGUUAUUUCUCCCUUUAGUUCUCUUUUGAGAUUUAUAGUCACUCAAAUAAAGAGAUAACCCAAACAUAAGCGUCACAAACAGGCUUUCAUACCAUUCUUAAUCUGGUCCUGUAAUUCUUCAUUGCUGUAUUAACUUUCUGAUGCUUUUAAGGAUGUUUUAUAACAAAUUGUGUAGCUUUUUCCAAUGGAAUGUUUAUUCUGAAUUAUCUAAUUCAUAUUGUAAGUAUAGAGGGAGUUUAAUAUAAAAUUAUUAAACUAAUAUUUGUGAAAGAAUGUAUUUGUGCAUUUAACAAAUAUGUUAAUCCUCAGACUGUUAUUGGGCAGCUGAGCAUACAGGAAUAAAAAUAACACAAUUUUUAUGUGUACAAUAUUUAUGGAAUACGUUACUGGACCCAAUAAAUAAUUUAGUUAAUAACAUGACAAAGAA
RNAcentral lists this long non-coding RNA (1551 nucleotides) under Homo sapiens (human). Its description in RNAcentral is "non-protein coding lnc-TP53TG3-23:1". The record is from RNAcentral. Lineage: Eukaryota; Metazoa; Chordata; Mammalia; Primates; Hominidae.